UUAAACGUUACUUCAUUUUCGCCGCGGAGAGUUGCCUCUCGUUGACUUUAGAAUGAGUUCGUAAACAAGAUGUUUGGAUUUUAGUCGCACUUUCGAGAAAGUGGAAGAAAAUAAAUGUUUGUUUGGACCUGUCUGCCCGGUUAAAGGCCGACGAGAUCAAAAAGUGUGGAAUAAAUUCCGCGGGUCUCACGAGGCAACCGGCCGUGAAGCCGGUCGCCAAGCUUUAGUUUGAGGUGUGGUAAUGAUCCUUCCGCAGGUUCACCUACGGAAA
RNAcentral lists this unclassified non-coding RNA (271 nucleotides) under uncultured fungus. RNAcentral describes it as "sequence contains ITS1". Lineage: Eukaryota; Fungi. The record is from RNAcentral.